Molecule: ribosomal RNA, 447 nt
Filed under: uncultured bacterium
Lineage: Bacteria
Description: SSU rRNA
Rfam family: Bacterial small subunit ribosomal RNA
Source: RNAcentral
AGAGCGAACGCUGGCGGCAGGCCUAACACAUGCAAGUCGAGCGCUCGUAGCAAUACGAGAGCGGCAGACGGGAGAGUAACACGUGGGAACGUACCCUUUGGUUCGGAACAACACAGGGAAACUUGUGCUAAUACCGAAUAAGCCCUUACGGGGAAAGAUUUAUCGCCGAAGGAUCGGCCCGCGUCUGAUUAGCUAGUUGGUGGGGUAACGGCUCACCAAGGCGACGAUCAGUAGCUGGUCUGAGAGGAUGACCAGCCUCAUUGGGACUGAGACACGGCCCAAACUCCUACGGGAGGCAGCAGUGGGGAAUAUUGGACAAUGGGCGCAAGCCUGAUCCAGCCAUGCCGCGUGGAUGAUGAAGGCCUUAGGGUUGUAAAGCUCUUUCGCUAGGGACGAUAAUGACGGUACCUAGACAAGAGCCCCGGCUAACUUCGUGCCAGCAGCCGC